RNAcentral lists this ribosomal RNA (508 nucleotides) under uncultured bacterium. RNAcentral describes it as "partial 16S ribosomal RNA". It matches the Rfam family "Bacterial small subunit ribosomal RNA", at positions 28 to 523 of the family's 1533-position model. The record is from RNAcentral.
GAUGAACGCUAGCUACAGGCUUAACACAUGCAAGUCGAGGGGCAGCAUGAAAGGAACUUCGGUUCUUUUUGAUGGCGACCGGCGCACGGGUGCGUAACGCGUAUCGAACCUGCCUCAUACUCGGGGAUAGCCUUGCGAAAGUAAGAUUAAUACCCGGCGGUCUCGGAUGGCCGCAUGACUGUCCGAGUGAAGAUUUAUCGGUAUGAGAUGGCGAUGCGUCCCAUUAGCUAGUUGGUGAGGUAACGGCUCACCAAGGCAUCGAUGGGUAGGGGUUCUGAGAGUAAGGUCCCCCACAUUGGAACUGAGACACGGUCCAAACUCCUACGGGAGGCAGCAGUGAGGAAUAUUUGUCAAUGGACGAAAGUCUGAACCAGCCAAGUAGCGUGCAGGACGACGGCCCUCUGGGUUGUAAACUGCUUUUAGUUGGGAAUAAAAAGAGGGACGUGUCCCUUAUUGUAUGUACCAUCAGAAAAAGGACCGGCUAAUUCCGUGCCAGCCGCCGCAGUAA